RNAcentral lists this transfer RNA (70 nucleotides) under Dipodomys ordii (Ord's kangaroo rat). It matches the Rfam family "tRNA". Rfam says of the family: Transfer RNA (tRNA) molecules are approximately 80 nucleotides in length. The record is from Rfam by way of RNAcentral. Lineage: Eukaryota; Metazoa; Chordata; Mammalia; Rodentia; Heteromyidae.
GGGAAUGUGGCUUAGUGGUACAGUGCUUGCCUAGCAUGCAUGAAGCCCUGGGUUCAAUUCCCCAGUACUA